This 267-nucleotide unclassified non-coding RNA is filed under the name Hevea brasiliensis (rubber tree). The record is from RNAcentral. Lineage: Eukaryota; Viridiplantae; Streptophyta; Magnoliopsida; Malpighiales; Euphorbiaceae.
UCUUCACAUCACUUCUUCAAUGCUCACAAAAAUACCAAUUUGGGUCGAAAGAACCACAACCAUUCCAAAUGCCAUCAAAUAACAUUGUCUCCCAGUUCCAAAUGCCAUCAAAUAGCAUUUCUCAAUUCCAAAUGACAUCAAGUUUGAACAACAGCACCCAGCAUGGAUAUCUUCUGAGUGAGCUUCCCAAUCUGAUUUCUGAAGAACAAGCAGCAACCACAUCGUCCAUGAACGAGAGCCGUAUCAAUGCAACAAAUUUUCAUGGCG